GACAACGUAGCUCAAUGGCUAGAGCGCAGGGCGAGUCCCUGAGGAUGUUGGUUCAAGUCCAACCGUUGUGA
RNAcentral lists this transfer RNA (71 nucleotides) under Phytophthora nicotianae CJ01A1. RNAcentral describes it as "Phytophthora parasitica CJ01A1 tRNA-Leu". It matches the Rfam family "tRNA". Rfam says of the family: Transfer RNA (tRNA) molecules are approximately 80 nucleotides in length. Their secondary structure includes four short double-helical elements and three loops (D, anti-codon, and T loops). RNAcentral also lists the same sequence under 1 other name. Lineage: Eukaryota; Oomycota; Peronosporomycetes; Peronosporales; Peronosporaceae. The record is from RNAcentral.